GCUGGGCGCCGCCCACCGGGCAGUAGAGCCCCAGCCUCAGAAGGAAUCUGCCAGGUGAUGGGGCUACCCCUCUGCGCAUUCCUGUGGUGGACCCCACUCCCUCAGAUGAUGCGGACGGGAAAGAUGCGCGGAGCCGAAGAGCGCCCUCUCUGGGGGUCUGGAUUGGAGCACCCAGCACCUGAGCUGGGUGAGAGACCCCUUGGGCUCUGGGGGAGUCCGAGUUGGCCGGCGGGGCGGCCGCUAGGGAGGAGCAGGGUAUGCUCAGCUUGAACCUCACAGAGAGGCUCUGACAACUCUGGAGAGCUCUCAAGCCACGGGCUGAUGGACAAUCGUGACCCUGACAACAUCUGGCCGCCCCAGGAUGCCCAUACCCUCACCCCACCUCCACCCCCACGGCUCUUGCCCAGGCCUUGCCAGAGGCCCUCUGCCUCCCAGCUUGUUUGCCUGCUCACUUACUAGCAGCAAGAGUACCUACUAGGCUGGCUCGAUGGGCAGUUGUCUCUGUCUUGGGAAAGUAGGGGCUGUGCUGGGUUCAUUCACUGGCCUCCCUCAAGCCAGCUCAAGGGCCUGGAGACAGGAGUCCUUCUCCUGGAGUGCUGCCCUCUCACCAGCUCUUCUCUACCAGCCAGCCAGAAGAUGCGAAGCUCAUGGUGACCUUGGCAGGCAGACAGGUGGCAUCAGGAUGGUCUGGGCCUGCAGGGCCACCCUGUCCCUUCAGGUGGCUUCAUGGAGAGCACCAAGAAGUGUGAUCUCAGCAUUCAUGUGUGACCUGACCCACAUCCUUCCUGGUGCCUGAGGAUGCGAGGAGGCUGCUAUGCUGGGGCUGAGCCCUGCCAGGCGUCCUGCUUGCAUCCCUGCAGCUGGGGCUGAGGCUGUCCUGCAGGGAGGGCUGGUGGGCCCUGAGGCAGAAUCCCACUGCCACUUCAGAAAGUAGAGAAGAAGCCAGGUGUGGUGGGGCCAGUGGCCAUCUGCCGGGACUUCAGGGAGACCAGACACACAGGAAGAGGCACUUUCUCCAGACACCUCCUUUAGGGGCAGGGCACAAGGCCUGGAACAAGGCUGCCUCUGACCAGAGCAACAGAGCCUGCUCUGAGGAUGGCAGAGCCUAGAGCAGGCAAGCUGUCAAGAUUCUGGGUUGAGGGUCACAGGACAGGAGGCUGGACUCCCGCUGAUAUGAUUUGGGUUUGUGUCCCCACCCAAAUCUCAUGUUCAAUUGUAAUCCCCAGUGUUGGAGGUUGGAGGCGAUUGGAUCAUGGGGGCGGAGUUCUCAUGAAUGGGUUAGCACCAUCCCCUCGGUGCUAUUCUCCUGUUAGUGAGUGAGUGAGUUCUGGAGGGAUCUGACUGUUUGAAAGUGUGGGGCACCUCCCCCUUCUCUCUCUUGCUCCUGCCAUGUGAGACACCUGCUCCAACUCUGCCUUCCACUAUGAGUGAAAGCUCCCUGAGGCCUUCCCAGAAGCAAAUGCUGCCAUGAUUCCUGUAAAGUUUGCAGAGCCAUGAUCUAAUUAAACCUCUUUUCUUUAUAAAUUACCCAGUCUCCGGCUUUUUUUUUUUUUUUUUUGGAGAUGGAGUCUCCCUCUAUCACCCAGGCUGGAGUGCAGUGACAUGAUCUCAGCUCACUGCAACCUCCACCUUCUGGGUUUAAGCGAUUCUCUUGCCUCAGCCUCUCAAGUAGCUGGGAUUACAGGUGCACGCCACCAUGCCCAGCUAAUUUUUGUAUUUUUAGUAGAGACAGGGUUUCACCGUGUUGGCCAGGCUGAUCUCAAACUUCCUGACCCAAGUGAUCUGCCCACUUCAGCUUCCCAAAGUGCUGGGAUUACAGGCAUGAGCCACCGUGCCCGGCCAAGGCCCUUCUUUAUAGCAGUGUGAGAACAGACUACUACACUCGCAAAGGCUCCCUCUCAGAGUCCACCCUUGCUGUCUCCACACAGCAGCCGGGGGGGAUCUCUUAGAACCUGAGUCAGAAGCUCCGUGACUCCCAC
Molecule: long non-coding RNA, 1979 nt
Filed under: Homo sapiens (human)
Lineage: Eukaryota; Metazoa; Chordata; Mammalia; Primates; Hominidae
Description: HSALNT0161822
Source: RNAcentral